GCCUACGGGGGGCAGCAGUGGGGGAUAUUGCACAAUGGGGGGAACCCUGAUGCAGCGACGCCGCGUGGGCGAUGGAGCGCCUCGGCGCGUAAAGCCCUAUCAGCAGGGAAGAAGAUGACGGUACCUGGCUAAGAAGCCCCGGCUAAAUACGUGCCAGCAGCCGCGGUAAUACGUAUGGGGCAAGCGUUAUCCGGAUUUACUGGGUGUAAAGGGAGCGCAGGCGGCCUGGCAAGCCUGAUGUGAAAGGUCGGGGCCCAACCCCGGGACUGCAUUGGAAACUGUUGAACUGGAGUACAGGAGAGGUA
Molecule: ribosomal RNA, 305 nt
Filed under: uncultured bacterium
Lineage: Bacteria
Description: bacterial SSU rRNA
Rfam family: Bacterial small subunit ribosomal RNA
Source: RNAcentral